UAGCGUAUAUUUAAGUUGUUGCAGUUAAAAAGCUCGUAGUUGGAUUUUGGUUAAGAGGGCGCGGUCGGCCGUUUGGUCUGUACUGCGUUGUCUUGACUUCCUGAUGAGGACAUGCUCUUGGUUAACGCUGAGACAUGGAGUCAUCGUGGUUACUUUGAAAAAAUUAGAGUGUUCAAAGCGGGCUUACGCUUGAAUAUAUUAGCAUGGAACAACACUAUAGGACUCCUGUCCUAUCUCGUUGGUCUCGGGAUGGGAGUAAUGAUUAAGAGGAACAGUUGGGGGCAUUCGUAUUUCGUUGUCAGAGGUGAAAUUCUUGGAUUUAUGAAAGACGAACUUCUGCGAAAGCAUUUGCCAAGGAUGUUUUCAUUAAUCAAGAACGAAAGUUGGGGGCUCGAAGAUGAUUAGAUACCAUCCUAGUCUCAACCAUAAACGAUGCCGACUAGGGAUUGCUGGAUGUUAAUUGAUGACUUCACCAGCACCUUAUGAGAAAUCAAAGUUUUUGGGUUCCCGGGGGGAGUAUGGUCGCAAGGCUGAAACUUAAAGGAGUUGA
Molecule: ribosomal RNA, 550 nt
Filed under: uncultured Chlorophyta
Lineage: Eukaryota; Viridiplantae; Chlorophyta
Description: SSU rRNA
Rfam family: Eukaryotic small subunit ribosomal RNA
Source: RNAcentral